Molecule: long non-coding RNA, 3364 nt
Filed under: Sus scrofa (pig)
Lineage: Eukaryota; Metazoa; Chordata; Mammalia; Artiodactyla; Suidae
Description: lncRNA (ENSSSCG00045032832.1)
Source: RNAcentral
GCCCCGCCCCGUCGGCCAGGCCCCGCCCCGUCGGAGCCCCUCCCCCUGGCUGCGGGUAGCCUUCCGCUCGGUCGGAGCCGCGGUCACGGGGCUUGGCGGUGGCCCUCGUCCUUCGUUACUCAGGAGAAAAAAAGAGGGAGAGAGAGAGAGAAAAUCAAGUCGCAGCCGGCUUGGCCCGGUGUUGGGGGCGGUCGCGCGGAACGCCAUCCUGCCUGAAACUCAGGAAACACAAGGUCCCUGGUUGUGUAAUAUGAGUACACUUGAAAGUUCCUCGUCCUUAUCUGGCAACCCAGAUGGAUAAAUACUGGCCCUGAAGAUGCUUUUCUUAAAACUGAGCACAAGUGGCUGCAGAACAGAGCUUGGGAAGAACCAGUUAUUCUUCUGUCAGUUCAAAACUGGGGGCCCCUUCCCUCUAGCAUUCAUCCUCUGCUUGCCGGGGCAUAUCAAUUUCACCCAAAUCACGUGGACUAAGGUGGUGAUGGUGGGCUGUGGUAGGUAUGAUUUCCCCAAAGAAAAUUCAGAUGAAGUCACCAGAGGGAAGAAGGAAGAAUGGAUGUUUAUGCAAAAGACGCAGAUGUCCACAACAGUUCCCACAUGGGAAGAGAAUAAUCCAGGUUUAAGAGCCCUGGCUUGGGACCCCAGUGUCUGGGGAUGGAGUCCCAGCUCUACCAUUUACAAAUUGUGUGACCAUGGCUGGAUCAUGUCACCAGUCAGUAUGGGUCUGUGUCCCCAUUAACAAAUGGGAGUGAUGGUCCAGCAUUGUGGGCCUGAAUCAGAGUGACAGCACAUUGCAAAGGCACCAUGUAAGCUCCAGCAGGUGUGUCACAGCUACUUGUGGUGUCAUGAAAUCUGAAGUCUCUGAUCCAGUGAAUCAGCUUCUGAAUAUUUAAUCAAAGGAAAUUAAAACACUAACUCAGGAGUUCCCAUCAUGGUGCAGUGGUUAACGGAUCCGACUAGGAACCAUAAGGUUGCGAGUUCGAUCCCUGGCCUUGCUCAGUGGGUCGAGGAUCCAGCAUUGCCGUGAGCUGUGGUGUAAGUUGCAGACACGGCUGGGAUCCUGCGUUGCUGCGGCUCUGGCGUAGGCCGGUGGCUAUAGCUCCAAUUAGACCCCUAGCCUGGGAAUCUCCAUAUGCCGCUGGAGCGGCCCUAGAAAAAGGCAAAAAGACAAAACAAACAAACAAACAAACAAAAAAACACUAACUCAAAAAGGUAUCUGUACCCCCAUGUUCAUUGCAGCAUUAUUUACAAUAGCCAGGAUAUGCAAACAACCUAAGUGUCUAUUGAUGGAUGAAUCAAUAAAGAAAUGUGGUGUGUAUAUGUAAUGGAAUAUACUUCAGCCAUAGGAAAGAAUAAAAUUCUGCCAUUUUGCAACAACAUGGAUGAACCUUGAGGGCAUUAUGCUAAAUGAAAUGUCAGACAGAGAAAGACAAAUACCAUAUGAUCUUACUCAUAUAUGAAAUUAAAAAGAAAAACUAAGGUCAUAAAUACAAAAAGUAGAUUGGUGGUUGCCAAAGAUGGGGGGAUAGGAGAAUGGGCGAAAUGACUGAAGGGGGUCAAAAGGUAUAGACUUUCAGUUAUAAGAUAAAUAAGUCCUGGGAUAUAAUGUACAGCAUGGUGACUGUAGUUAACACUGUAUUGCACAUUUUAAUGUUUCUAAGAGAGUGGAUCUUAAAAAUUCAUCACAAGAGAAAAAAUUUAUAACUAUGUAUGGUAACAGAUAUUAACUACACUUAUUAUGGAGACCAUUUUUCAGUGUAUACAAAUAUUGAAUCAUGUUGUAUGCCUGAAAUUAUUAUAAUGUUAUAUGUCAAUUAUACCUAAAUAAAAAACAAAAUGAAUGAAAUCUGAAGUCCCUGGAUUGUUACCUGCCCAGUUCCAGGAGAGCUGUCCACAGACAGGCAGCCAACAACCCCCACCCCCCACCUGGUUCAAGUCCUCAAUCUGCCACUGACUAGCUUUGUUUUGCUUCUCCAUGAAGUGAAGAUUUUCGUUCUUAUCUCCCAGGAUUAUUGGGAGAAGUGAUGAGGUGAUGUAUGGACAGUGCCUGGCACACAGUGGGCUGGCACUGGUGACAGAAGUGUUCUCAGUUCAGUGGUUACUCCAGAGCACUUCAGGAGUCCAGGUGUGACCCUGGCAGGACAGACCACGUGCUCUGAGAAGAAACAACCGUCGUUCUGGGUAAAGGGUGCAUUUGGCCAGCGCCAAGGGCCCUGGAGGCUUUGUGGAGCUGGGCCCUUCCACCUUCCUUUCAACUUGAGCUGGGUCCAACCUCCCAAAGGUUCAUGUUUCACUCUUAAUUACCCCUCAGGCUCUUCUCUCAGCCUGUCUUUCAUUUCCACCACAGGCUGGGAGCCAGACAGUUUGAACAGAACCUCAUCUGGAGUGUGUUAACUCUUCUCCCCCGGCGUUGGCAGAGAUCUGGGAUCAGCUCUGCAUUAGGACAAGUUGUAAGUAAACACGCAUUUGUGCUAAUGUGGCUCCUCCUCCCAUCCCAUAGCCUUAUCUUAGAUUUGUGCAGCUUCAAAUCAGGGAACAGGAGUGUGUUUGGAAAAAACCUUAGAUCUCAUUUAAGCCAGCCCACCCAUUUUACGGAAGAGCCAAUUGAAGAUGUUAAGUUGUUCAUGUUCACGGAGAUAACUUGGGGAUGUGAACAGAGCUGGAAAGCAGGUCUUCUGACUCUUAGUUAACUUUUACCACAACCAUGUACUUCAAUUUUCACUCAUUCCUUCAAAAAAUAUGUAUUGAGCUGCUAACACCUUUUGCCUGGUCCUUCUGGGGGCAUUGGAGAAACAGAUAAAUAAGAAAUGAGAGGAGGGGACAAGAUGGCGGAGGAGUGGGGGACACGCUCGCCCUCUCCCACAAACACAACAAAAAAAGCACAUCUACAGAAUAAAUGACUCGCACAGAACAGCAACCAAUCGCUGGCAGAGGAACCUAAACUCCAAUAACGGCAAGAAGUUCGUGACAUUACUGGGCAGAACGGGAGAAAAGAGGAGAGUGAGAGAAGGUGAAUCCGAGCGGGAUGGGCGCUCCCGAAAGGGAACUGUGGAGGAGAAAGGGACCCCGCACCCUGGAAAGUCACCUACCGGGGGAAAGAUCAAACGAACUGGAGGAAUCUCCAGAUGCAGAGAAGAGUGUAGCAGUAAGUUGGAGUACGGAAAAGCCGAUCAAGAACCGGACGGACCAUCUGAACUACGGGCACAGUCACCAAAAAUUGAGACGCCUGGGUGGGGGCUGGGCACCGAGACCUCGGCUCCAGAGGUUAGUCCCCUGGAAAGGGACGGGGGACGCCUGGAUGGGGGCUGGGCACUGAGACCUCGGCUCCAGAGGUUAGUCUGCGAGAGAGGGCGGGGCGGAGCGGAAA